Pelobates cultripes (western spadefoot toad) is the source of this 203-nucleotide non-coding RNA. The record is from the annotation of a GenBank genome assembly. Lineage: Eukaryota; Metazoa; Chordata; Amphibia; Anura; Pelobatidae.
CCUAACCAAAAUAUUAGCACAUCGUCAAAGUAGCGAAACUAUUUAAAAAUUGAUGAAGUGUACAUGGCAUAGAUACUGGUAAACACUAUUACACAAUUACAGUAGCCAAUCAAAAUAUAAUACAAUGUGAAACACUCCCACACAAACAGUAAAAUCACUCCCCUCUAUCCUGGACAUAUUUGUCUUAAGUGGCUGUAAUAAAC